Molecule: long non-coding RNA, 1400 nt
Organism: Scylla paramamosain (green mud crab)
Lineage: Eukaryota; Metazoa; Arthropoda; Malacostraca; Decapoda; Portunidae
Exons: 4
Source: RefSeq, a predicted model, not a curated record
UUCAGGGGAAACAACUGGCGCCUUCCUUCGAGAUAAAGGAACGACAGAGACAGAGAGUAACACAGACUCCAUGCCGUACGCUGGGGACGAAAGAACCGAGGCACGGUCACGACGAGAGACGAGGAGCAGGAGGAGGAAGAGUGACGGAUGCUUGCCAGGUGAACACAGUUUCCGCCUUGACCCACGGCUUCCUGCCCGAGUCAUGGCUGAACCCUACCCGACCUUCCCAUCGUGACCGUAAGUCCAGGGGAUUCCUAUUCCCGCCCUGACGUCACCCACCUCUUUUCCUGUGUCCUAGGGAAGUCAUUGAACUCUGUCACAAAGCCUCGUCAUCCAGCUCUUGUUACAAUUGCCGAAGUGCAUUCAAGUCUUUCUCUUCUUUUUUCCCACAGUAUCAUUGAUAUUUCGUUUUUCUCAUCUGUUUUUCAUGACUCCAUAGUGUGCUUCUGUUUUACAUGCUGGGCAGUUUUUGCAUGUUUAUAUCAGCGAAUGUUGAGAAAAUUAGCUUUUAAAAUUUGUUCAGUGAGUGGAUAUGUAUAUCAUUGAUCUGUUCGUGUAUUCAUGACGCAAAAACUGCAUCAAGAUUCACAUGCUCUUUGGUUUCGAUUGCUUCCUCCUUGCAAUGGUGAUGAGUAUUUUUACAUUCUUGCGCUUCCCCUUAAGCAACCUUUCAUCUGCCGUGCUUCAUCUAUCUCAUUCCCUUAUCUUUGGCUUUCCUUGCGCCUCGUCACUUCUCCAUGCCCAUCUAUUUCUCUCCGUGUCCUGUCCUCCCCCUUCCCGCUCCGUCCCUCCUCCUCCUUCCCUCUUCCCUCCACAACAUUCCUUGUGCGUGCAACACAGGGCGCUCUGCCGGAGUCAUUGUCCAAGUAUACGUGGAAACAUCGGAUUUAUCCUCCUUCCCUCUCCAGUUUGGACUCCAGGCUGUAUAUUACGACGGAAAGGGAAUAUUUAUACACAUUACACCAGCCUGACCCUUACUCUUUGGCCGACGGCGAAAUAGGGCGCGGUGAAAGUAAGCUGAGGAGAAAGGUAUAAAGGAAGUGAGCGAAAAGUGGGAGCCUCACGAAGUAGGUCGGUGAUUGGUUGAAGAGGCUAGGCGAGGACGGGCUUUGAUUGGCCAGCUGAGUCUCCAAGGAGGGAAGGAACCCGGGGGAGGGAAUAUUAUUCAAGUGAGGUAUUAAAAAUGUUUCGGAAGGGAGACCGAGGCGGGAAGGAAGGUGCGCAGGGAGGGCAAAAUGUCUUCGUGGUCGUAUGUCAUGUUUCGAUCCGUCAGUCAUCGUGGGAAAAUGUCAGUUUUACUCGCUUUAACAUGCAGGAAGAUAGGAGGAUGAAUAAUAGGCCAUCACAUUUAUACAUAUAAGGAACGUGUGUGUGUGUGUGUGUGUGUGUGUGUGUGUGUG